AUUGAACGCUGGCGGCAUGCCUUACACAUGCAAGUCGAACGGCAGCAUGGAGAGCUUGCUCUCUGAUGGCGAGUGGCGAACGGGUGAGUAAUGCAUCGGAACGUACCGUGUAAUGGGGGAUAACGUAGCGAAAGUUACGCUAAUACCGCAUACGACCUGAGGGUGAAAGCAGGGGAUCGCAAGACCUUGCGUUAUACGAGCGGCCGAUGUCAGAUUAGCUAGUUGGUGAGGUAAAGGCCCAACAAGGCGACGAUCUGUAGCGGGUCUGAGAGGAUGAUCCGCCACACUGGAACUGAGACACGGUCCAGACUCCUACGGGAGGCAGCAGUGGGGAAUUUUGGACAAUGGGGGCAACCCUGAUCCAGCCAUGCCGCGUGAGUGAAGAAGGCCUUCGGGUUGUAAAGCUCUUUCGGCCGGGAAGAAAUCGCACGGGCUAAUACCCUGUGUGGAUGACGGUACCGGAAUAAGAAGCACCGGCUAACUACGUGCCAGCAGCCGCGGUAA
Molecule: ribosomal RNA, 504 nt
Filed under: uncultured bacterium
Lineage: Bacteria
Description: partial 16S ribosomal RNA
Rfam family: Bacterial small subunit ribosomal RNA
Source: RNAcentral